GAUGAACGCUAGCUACAGGCUUAACACAUGCAAGUCGAGGGGCAGCAUGAUUGAAGCUUGCUUCAAUCGAUGGCGACCGGCGCACGGGUGAGUAACACGUAUCCAACCUGCCGAUAACUCGGGGAUAGCCUUUCGAAAGAAAGAUUAAUACCCGAUAGUAUAGUAUUUCCGCAUGGUUUCACUAUUAAAGAACUUCGGUUAUCGAUGGGGAUGCGUUCCAUUAGAUAGUUGGCGGGGUAACGGCCCACCAAGUCAACGAUGGAUAGGGGUUCUGAGAGGAAGGUCCCCCACAUUGGAACUGAGACACGGUCCAAACGCCUACGGGAGGCAGCAGUGAGGAAGAUUGGUCAAUGGACGAGAGUCUGAACCAGCCAAGUAGCGUGAAGGAGGACUGCCCUAUGGGUUGUAAACUUCUUUUAGACGGGAAUAAAGUGGAGUAUGCAUACUCCUUUGUAUGUACCGUAUGAAUAAGGAUCGGCUAACUCCGUG
This 489-nucleotide ribosomal RNA is filed under the name uncultured bacterium. RNAcentral's name for it is "partial 16S ribosomal RNA". It matches the Rfam family "Bacterial small subunit ribosomal RNA", at positions 28 to 507 of the family's 1533-position model. The record is from RNAcentral.